Long non-coding RNA from Vidua chalybeata, 295 nucleotides. RefSeq lists it as uncharacterized. The record is from RefSeq and is a predicted model, not a curated record. NCBI's taxonomy places the organism in Eukaryota, Metazoa, Chordata, Aves, Passeriformes, Viduidae. The transcript has 2 exons.
UCACCCAGCCAGCUGUCCCUCCUUCCGCUGGUGUCUCAUCACCAGGCUCACGAGACCUGGGGUGAAAGGGUGCACACGCAACAGGUUAAGGGGGAAUGAAUUCUGCUUCAGAUGCAGUUUUGGAAGGAGCUUGCCCUGAAAGAGUCUCGCUGUCACCAGCAUGGGUUGAAAACUAUAAAGCAACCUAUGUGCCUCAUCAAGAUUUUGCAUUGCUCAGCAAGGGCUCAGAACGUCCAGCCCAGCAAAAGCCCACAAGCUCUGGAGUUCUCUGACAAAUAAACACCAUUAAAAAUAA